This 253-nucleotide ribosomal RNA is filed under the name uncultured bacterium. RNAcentral's name for it is "partial 16S ribosomal RNA". It matches the Rfam family "Bacterial small subunit ribosomal RNA", at positions 524 to 776 of the family's 1533-position model. The record is from RNAcentral.
UACGGAGAGUGCAAGCGUUGUUCGGAAUCAUUGGGCGUAAAGCGCGUGUAGGCGGGCUGUUAAGUCUGGUGUGAAAGACCUCGGCUUAACCGGGGAGGUGCACUGGAUACUGGCAGCCUUGAGUACGGGAGAGGGAGGUGGAAUUCCGAGUGUAGAGGUGAAAUUCGUAGAUAUUCGGAGGAACACCGGUGGCGAAGGCGGCCUCCUGGACCGAUACUGACGCUGAGACGCGAAAGUGUGGGGAGCAAACAGG